UGGGAAGGAGGCAGCCAAUGGCUUGGCGCGCGCCGGGGCGCCCCCGGAAGCGGUCAGCGCGCGGCCACGUGGGGCGGGAGCGGGGCUGCUAUGGAGCUGCUGCCCCGCCGUCCCGGGGAGUUCGGCUCCACCCGCUACUGGGAUCGGUUCUUCCGGCAGCGCGGGCAGCGGCCCUUCGAGUGGUACGGGGCCUUCGCGGAGCUCUGCCCGCUGCUGCACAAGUACGUGCGGCCCCGCGACAAGGUGCUGGUGGUGGGCUGCGGGAACUCGGAGCUGAGCGAGCAGAUGUACGACACGGGGAUGUGCGAGGACAUCGUCAACAUCGACAUCAGCGACGCGGUGAUCCGUCAGAUGCAAGAGCGGAGCGGGAGCAAGAGGCCAAAGAUGAACUACCUGCUGAUGGACAUGCUUCAGAUGGACUUCCCUGAUGGCCACUUCCAGGUGGUGCUGGACAAAGGCACGCUGGAUGCCAUCCUCACUGACGAAGAGGAGGCCACUCUAGCUAAGGUGGACAAGAUGUUUGCUGAGGUCAGCCGGGUCCUGCAGGUAGGAGGGCGCUACCUCUGCGUCUCCUUAGCUCAAGCCCACGUGCUGAAGAAAGCGGUGGAAUACUUCUCCCAGGAAGGCUGGGUUGUGCGUGUCCAUCAGGUGGCCAGCAGUGGGGACAAGCAGCAGUUUGUCCUGCCUGUCUUUGUCUAUGUCAUGACAAAGUUCAAGAAGAUCUCUGGCUCGGCACUGCAGAUCCUGGAGAUCUGCCCUGAGGAGCAGGACAAGCCUAUGCGAGUGGAGAGUGCAGAGCGACUGGUGGCAGCAGUGAAGGACAGGCAGCACUAUGCCCUGCUCUGCAGCCAGCUGAGCAAAACCCCCUGCAGAGAGCAGGUUUCUCUGGAUCUAUGCAACAGAGAGAGCGGGAAGCCUCGCUACACUCUGCAUGUGGUUGACAGCCCCUCCGUGAAACCAUCCCGAGACAAUCACUUCGCCAUCUUCAUCAUCCCGCAGGGCAGAGAAACCGAGUGGCUCUUUGGGACGGAGGAAGGGCGGAAGCAGCUGGCCAGCAGUGCGGGCUUCGGGCGCCUCGUCACCGUGGCCCUGCACAGGGAGCAGCACUACGAGGGCAUGGCGGGCAUCCAGGCGGAGCUGUCGGGGAAGGUGAUGGAGCUGGCCCCACCGGGCCUCCCUGCCCGGCAGCAGGUGCCCUUCCUGUCUGUGGGAGGGGACAUUGGGGUGCGGACUGUGCGGCACUGUGACACCAGUGCCCUGAGCGGGGAGUACGUUGUGGAGGACGUGAAGGGGGACGGCACCUGCUACUUCCGACGCCUCAUCUUCCUCUGCAACAGGAACGUGGUACAGUCGGAGGCCCGGCUCCUGGCCCCCAUGUCUCUCCCAGGCCAGAAGAAACGGAGGAAGGACAAGAAGAAGCUCAACCCUGCAGAGCCACCUGCAGCCAUUGACAAGAGCUACCUGUGCUGUGAGCACCACAAAGCCAUGGUUGCAGGGCUCUGCCUGCUGGGGAACCCUGACUCCCUCCCAGAAGCCCCUCUGGCAGUGCUGGUGGUGGGGCUUGGUGGGGGCAGCCUGCCCCUCUUCAUCCACGACUACUUCUCGCAGGCCCAUGUGGCCGUGGUGGAGAUCGACCCGUCCAUGCUUGAGGUGGCCACGCGCUGGUUUGGCUUCUCCCAGGAUGACCGGAUGCGGGUGCAAGUCUCUGAUGGCCUGGACUACGUGGCCAAGCUGUCAGCUGAAGCCCCAGCCCAGUAUGACACCGUCAUGUUUGAUGUGGACAGCAAAGACCUCACGGUGGGGAUGAGUUGCCCGCCCCCAGCCUUUGUGGAAAAGCCCUUCUUGCAGAAAGUGAAAACCAUCCUUAAGCCAGAAGGAGUCUUCGUGCUCAACUUAGUGUGCCGCGAUGCCCAGCUGAAGGAAUCUGUCCUGGCCACCCUCCGGGAGGUCUUCCCACUGCUCUAUGCACGUCGCAUCGAAGGGGAGGUCAAUGAGAUCUUGUUCUGCCAGCCCAGCCCUGAGGGCCAGCGCGACCCUGCGGAACUAGGGGCACGCGCCCGGGCACUGGAGGGGGCCCUCCAGCAGCCUGGGCGCCCCUGGGACACAUCGUAUGCCUUGGCAGACAUGCUGCAAGCCAUCAAGAUUCUCUGAGAGGGGCCCCGAUACUGCUUGAAUGAGAGGUGGCUCCACGUGGGUACUGUGAGCCCUCGGUGCAGGGGUGCCUGUGGCGGGGGCUACCCCUGAGGGGCUGGUGGUAGCCUGGGUCUCCUUGAAGGACAGGACUGGUGCAGAGAGGGGCUUCCCAGGAAGGGAUUUGGGACUGCGGAAGGUUGUGUGGCCCUACGGGCAGCGCUGGGGCAGUGAGAAGAGGGGAGGUGCUGUGAUUCUGGCAGGAUUAUGGGUUUCAGUCUGCCUCCAUUGAUUUCCUGUUGUGGGAAAAGCAUCCCUCUGACCAUCCCCUUCUCUUCAAAGCUGCCUCUCCCCACAUCUCUAUCAUCCCUGGUCACUGAUGUUUCACCCUGCCCAAGCCUGGUGGUGGAUAUGGGUGGGUGGGUAGGCUGAGAACUGUGAAAAUAAAAGCGCUCAGGGCUGCUUGGAAGCCUGAGGUGCUUCUCCAGACUUGUUUCUGCAGCACCCAAGCACCUCUGGAAAAGGUACAGUCACUUCCAUUCCUCAAGGGCGCGUCCUGGGGACAGGCAGCUGCCCCAGGUCUCCCACUGCCUGCUCCCUCCUCACCUUCCCCAAACUGGAUCCCACCAUGUGCCUGCCUCUCUUCUGCAUCUUCACCAGCCAUUGCCACCAUGAACUGGGCACUGUAACCCCUGGGUGCCUCUUCCCUCAGCCCCCUUCGACCAGCAGGGACCCAGCGCUGUGCUCAGGCUCCUGAGCACACAAAGUCAUUGCGGGGGUUUGUCUUCCUCCCCUGCAACAGCUGGUACCAAAAUGAAUCUGAGUCGCUGUACCAAAGUGAUCAGCUUGCAGAUGCCAAGGUGACAACUUGCUCAGGCCUCAUGAUGCUUUGCUACUGAACCUGCACCCUCCUGUGCUCCGUUCCGCCAGUGCCCUGAGCGAGGAGGCCUUUCUGGCAGCUGCUUCCUAAAGGAAAGCUUCCCCAGGCAAUCAUGACAGCCCAGGGUUGUAACAACGCCCGAAGCAGCUCCAGGAGGGGUCUGACCCAGCCACCACUGGAGGCAACAGCAGCCGUAUCUAUUGCUGCUGAAGCCACCUCGCCAGCUUUGCAGCUUGUGUACCCUGUCCCAGCAGGGUGGUGGUGGGCUGGCGCUCAUCAUCCUGUCCUUCCUCAGCAGGACCCAGGUCUCCUUUACCUGUGGGGAAUCAGAUUUGUUUCGAAAGCUGAGUGGGUGGGAGCACGAGGUGGAGGGUCUGUAGUUCCCCAUGGAAGGGGCACCCCAAGAGCUCUCACCCUGGAACCCAGUGGAGAUUCCAGCCACUGUGCUGACGCAGAAGACAAGACUGCUGGUGCCCAGGAGGCACUGUGGGAGCUGUGCCAACAGCAAGCAUCCCUCUGAUCCGUGACUGUGGCUAUAUUUGAAUUUUAAUUUGCCACCAAGUUCUGCUUUGCAAACCGCUCUGUGCAGAUCCCGUCUCCGAUGCUCCGUGCCUCGUUCCCCUUCACAGAGAGGGACAAGCCAGUGCCCUACUUUCUCCCUCAGCUGACCCGCUAGCGCACAGAGGGAGCAGAUGCUUUUUUUACGUAAGUGCUUUUGAUGGUUCCUGGGUGCUGCAGAGCGGCGCUGGCCUGCUCCCCGCCUCAGAUAAGGGAUGGCAAUGCAAGCACGUGCUCUCCAUAUGCUGCUCAGCACCCAAGUGCUCCUCUGUGCUCUGGUGUGCUCAGGGCAGAGUGUGGGCGCUGCUCAAUGGGAGAGACAAGGCUGGAGCUUGGGCUGGGUGGAAGGCUGCCUGCCCCAUGCAGUUAGUUUCUAAAGCUCCUCUAUGAGGAGCAUUUUUUUUUUCAGAAAGAUACCCAUCAUCCAGCCAGCUUAGCGAUGGCAAAUUUCUCAACUGGAUCAGCAGUGCUGCAUAUAGUCUAUUUUAAACUUUGUUUUCAGUCCUCAACAUAAUUCCAAUGACAUCGGUUUGCGUGCAUGCCCUUUAUUUUACCAAAACCAUCUCCUUUUUUCCCCAGGACCCCACACAAAGGCUACGUUCAUCCCUCCCUUGUCCAGUUCUGCCUUUCUGCUGUGCUUCCUAAUCGCUGCCUAACGCCACAUCCUGGUGGGAAAACAAAAGCCAUCUGUGGGAAACAAUGUGAGGACAAAAUCUCAGUUCAUUGCAGCUGUCUUUGCAGCUACUCACGGCCCUCCGAGUUUGGUCUGGAAAUGCAUUUCUGCUGGAAAAUGGAAAAUUCAUGAGUCCUGCAAAUACCUGAAUCCUCCACUGCAGAUAAAACACUCUGAGGCUGGGGUAAUUGAUGUGUAGUAAAUAUUUCCCUCUAGGCAGCCAAAACAUUCAGCUAACGUAUGCCUUUAGCAACUGUUUCUGCUGAGCAUUUUGGCAGUGUACUCAUGUUUACAUCCCUAACUCCUCACUUCCUUCCUUUGCAGCGUAGGCACGCUGGAAGCGGUGGGAUGGAAACAAGCACUACUGUCACUUAGCAACCUCUGCUGGCUUGGAGAUGUUUACUUUUCUCCUUUCUGGAUUUCCCAGCACAAAAAGAGAGAGCCGCAUAACUCAUCACCAGCUGGGGAUGCUCCAUUCUGGUCCAGCCUGGAUCACUCUGGGAGCAUCUUUUCCGUGUCUACCACUGCUCCAGUGAGAGACAGGGAGUCGAUGCCCUAGGUUUUGUGGUCCAGAGCUGUGGAAACGCUUGCCCAGGGUAACUCUGUGGACAGGCAGCUGGCAGGACAGUGAUGCUAUGAGACAGGCAGUGGUGGGGUGCCACACAUACACCCCGUAAGGUAUAACCUCCUCCGGUGUCACAGCCCAGAUCCCUGCUCUGCAGAAGGACUGGAAGUGGCUGGGCUCUCCAGAAGAGGAUGGAGGGGGAAGAGGGAUAUACGGUCAGCAGCUGGAAGUGUGUCAAGUGGCUGGGAGAGAUUCUGCAGUAAAUAAAACUGCAGGGCCUGAGAGCUGAGGCCGAUUCCCUUCAGCUGGGAAGAGAUCUAAUGGGGGUGAGCCUGGCCCUGCUGGCUGGCGCUGCUGCUGCUGCCUGGGCAUGGCGGUGUCACAGCACAGCAAAACAAGGGCUGCAACAGCCACAUCCCGGAGGGUGGAAGGGCUGGGAAAGCAUUUUGUCCAUGAGAUCUUCCCUUAGGGAAGCAUUUGGCUUGUUUGGUUUUGUGCCCAAGGAAGCAGGCGUGCUGCCAGGCUGCAGCGAGGAAGUACAGCUCUUCCAUGGGGUGCCCGGGACUGCAGGGAAACAUCUCUGCUGGCUCUGAUGCAGCACAGGGGUCCUUUUCUCCUCCGCAGCUGGAUACAUCUGAUUAAAGGAUCCAGCUGGAGGUCACAGGGCAGGAGAGAAGCCACUGCACCAGAUGGGGCAGGGAUCAGAAUAGCACUGUCUCGUGGUCUGUGAGUCAGCAGUGCCACAGGGGCAGGCAGAGAGUGCUGCCUCCUUACUGGGAGAAAUGCAGCAACCGCUACUUCUAAUAAUUGCUCUGGAGCCUCUCUGGCUUUCUUUCACUGGGUUUAAUUCUGUCUUUUGCAGCUUCAAGGUCUGGGCUCUCCUCCUGGCACGUAUGCAGGCAUAAUGCUGACCAGCACGUUCAUGCCAGCACUGCAGAGUGAGAGCCACGGAGCUCCCCUGUGCGUGGUGCUCCUUGCCCACAGCUCCUUCAGCUGCCUGAACAGCUCUGCAAGACUCUGGAUUUGUAUCUGAACCAAGGAGGAGCGUAAUUCAUUACAAGACGCUUUGCAACUGUCUCUGCUGGUACUGCCCAUGUUUCUUUUAAUUCGGUCACUCUGAAUCUCAAAUUCAGAAAGUCAGGCUGGAAGGUUGGAACAAGCUGCCUGGAGAAGGCAGGAAAAAUAGGGACCUGAAGAUACACACGAGUACCCUUCCUCUCCUCUUCACUGCUGGAAAAGCAAGUACUCUCGUGAUAACGUGGGCACGCAUAAUGAAAAUGUUCCUACUUUCUCCAGGAGGUGGGAAAUCUAUACUUGGCUGCUUGUGACUUUUUUCUAGGAGGGAGAGUGGAUUUUUCUAAGUGGUGGAUUUGCAGGGUGAGGAUGGCAGAUUAGCGGCUGUAACUGCCUUUCAACAGACAGUUUGGUUUGGAAAUUUCCCAGACUUGGCGGAAUAACAGAAACUUUUCCUAAUCAUAGAUUACUUUUCUUGUUAUUUAUGGAAGCAAACAACAAGCAGUUUAAAGACCUGAUAGAAAGGUCUGUUCCUGUUAUAAAUUUGAAGCUGUUCACAGAGUUGCUCACAAGGUGUCCUGUCUUUCUUUAAUCUUCAUUUGUCUCCUGUGAAGAUGCCAUCCUAAGGCCAGGCUGCUCUCCUACUUAUCUGAAUUAUUUUGCUAGGGCAGCACAAAGUGCUGCAAUGCUCAGACAGGGCGGAUUUGUCUGGAACAUGAUACUGUUCUUCCUGACUUCCAGCAGUUGUAGAAACCCAUAAACUGGAGUUAGGACAGGCAGCUACUCCAGUGCCUUCUGGCAUAGCCUACCCACGCGGGAGUGGGGAAAAA
Molecule: RNA transcript, 6650 nt
Organism: Cuculus canorus (common cuckoo)
Lineage: Eukaryota; Metazoa; Chordata; Aves; Cuculiformes; Cuculidae
Gene: METTL13
Gene name: methyltransferase 13, eEF1A lysine and N-terminal methyltransferase
Exons: 9
Source: RefSeq, a predicted model, not a curated record